RNAcentral lists this long non-coding RNA (1664 nucleotides) under Sorghum bicolor (sorghum). RNAcentral describes it as "long non-coding RNA (SBIC_LNC010219)". The record is from RNAcentral. Lineage: Eukaryota; Viridiplantae; Streptophyta; Magnoliopsida; Poales; Poaceae.
CAACAUUUAUUUUGAUCAUUUUUUUAUUUGACAAAGCCAAAACAAAUUUAUUUUCAAAUUUUACAUCUCUCUUAUAGUAUAUGAAACUACAAGACAGAUAAAUAAGAAUUUAGAAAAAUAUUAGAAUCACCAUGUCGGAUGAACUUAUGACAAAAUAACAAAAAUAAACUUUGUAGAUCUUGAGAUGUUAUGAAAUUUUGUGUUUGGCAACUUUUUUAUUUGAGUUCAUCUUGUCAUGAAAAAUCGCGUUUUUAAUUGAAAAUUUUAAAAUUUGAUUUUAUUUAAACAACCUCGGAUGGAAAAACUCUCUAAAUAAACUUUCUAGAUCUCAAAAAGUUAUGAAACUUUGUAGUUGAUAACUUUUUGUUUUGAAAUCAUCUUGUCAUGCAAAAACUACAUUUUAAUUUCUUAAAUUUAAAUAUUCUUUGCCGAGUGUUUUUCUUUGACACUCGGCACAGACCUUCUCUGCCGAUUGUCAAAAAUAAAACACUCGGCAAAAAAAAUUUCAAAUCGAAUUUUGAAGCACUAAACGAAUUCAAAUUAAAAAGUUUUUAACUACAAAGUUAUAUAACUUCUCAAGAUCUACAACAUUUAUUUUGAUCAUUUCUUUAUUUGACAAAUCCAAAACAAAUUUAUUUACAAAUUUUACAACUCUCUUAUAGUAUAUGAAACUACAAGACAUAUAUAUAAGAUUUUUGAAAGAUAUUAGAAUCACCAUGUCGGAUGAACAUAUAACAAAAUAACCAAAAUAAACUCUGUAGAUCUUGUAACACCCUAAAAUUUGUCUUUUCGAAAUAAAGCUAAAUUAAUUCAAUAUUUUUAUGGAUGUGCUCAUGAAACAUAGGAAAAAUAAUAUUUUUCAUUUAAUUAAAAUUUAACAUAGGAUAUAGCAACAAUUUUGUGCACUCAUGCUCCUGCAUUUCAUUUAUGUGCUGAGUGGUUUUACUAAAGUUCAAAAGUAUUUCAAAGUGAUUUUAAAAUGGAUUUGAAAAUGACUUUGGAAUGAAAGAAAAGAAAAUAGAAAAAAAAAGAGACAAAACCCCUUCACCCUCUAGUCUGGCCCGAAGGCCCACUCCACCUUCCACCCUCGGCCCGAUACGCAGCAGGCCAGCCCAAGCCGCGCCUCCCCCUUCCCUUCUUUCCACUGCCAGCUGGGCCCCACCCGUCAGUCACCUCCCUCUUCUUCUUCCUUGGGCGUGAGCGAGCCGGACUCCUGUCCAGGCCAAAUCAGCGCCCCAAUCCCGUUUUCUCUGGGAUUUUUCCUGCCUAACGCGCUCUACCGAAUCAUAUAGAAGCUUUUAACCACCCAGCGUCCUUUUUCUCAUCUAUCCAUCACCGAAAGCCGCCUCUGGAGCCGAUUUUGGAUCUCGCCGAAAAGCACAGGAGCAAGCCGCCGCCGUGGAGCGCCCUAACCGCGUCGUGCCGUCGAAAUUCGAGCCCUUGCCGAGUACUGCAUCGAGAUGAAGACGCUACCGAGCCCCUCUCUAUCCUUUCUCUCGGUCUCUAUGACUCACACCGCCUCGCCGAUGUUGCAGGAAGUCCGCCGCCCGCAGUUGCACGUGGCCGACCAUCUCCUAGCCCUUCCCGUCUUCGAUUGGUGCUCCGGGUGAGUUCGCGGUACUCUCCUCUUGCUUCCCGUGCAAUCGGUUUUUCAAAUCGUGCCC